AUGAAUCACAGGGCUGAAAACAAACUUUCUUACCUUGAGCAGUCAAGGAGCGGCAGGCAGAGGAGCGGGGUUUUUAAUUUAGCUCCCUGGCACCUGUCCCCGCUCCCCCUGCUGAAGGACCCCGCGCAGCUCCACGGAGAGGUCAAAGGAGACAGGCGAGAAUCCAAGAAAAGGAGAAGCUGGAGCGGCGCGCGCGCGAGCAAACAGGGAGGCUUUCAGUGAGGCUCCCGCAACCGACGCCGAACGGAGACACAAGCACCGAAACCGUCCCCGGGGGCCGCGGGCCGAGGGCCGGGGGCCGGGAGCCGCGGCCUGGCAGUCGGCGGGGCCCCGAGACAGCGCGGGGGGAAGGGCCCGGGGCCCGGGGCCCGCCGAGGCCCGACGCGGUGACCGGGACGCCCUGGGCUCGCAGGCCUCCCGCCACCGCGUGGAGGCGCCCGGAGGGAGGCCCAGAGGAGGGGAGCGGGCCCCUGCCCCGCCCCCGGGAGGUCACCCUUUCCCUGACACCCCCCUAGUACAGCGCCUGGCGCAGGGCUGAGCACCCGGCAGCCGUUUCAGACGACCCUCGGUCCCUCGCACAUUCCAGCAAGUAGCCCUGGAAAGGAAGGCGCCCCCGCCAGUCCUUGGCCAUCGUACUUGGUUUUGUGGCCAGAAGGAAUCUCUUAGGGCACUUCCCCCGAACACCAGCCGGGCCAGUGUGCUGGGGUUCGCUGCCCACUCAGUUCCAGGGCCCUCGCUUUAUCCUCUCCCCGCUCGAGUUCAAGAUAGGCCUUCUUCCCGCGCAGACCCGACCAACAGCGCCUUAUUUGGGCAUGCAACCCCACACCGUCAAUUAGAUCAAAACGCUCACACGGAGCUCCUUCCCCCCCCCCCCCCCCACUAAAGUAGGUCAUUCUCUUUAUUUCCCACUUGUAUUAUUUUUGUCUAAUUCUCCUCCUGAAAAAUAAUCAGCUGCAAGGAACUUUGAGCAUCCUAAGAGAAGCCGUUAUUCUUAGGCUUGCUUUUCUGACUUGGAGGGCUUUUCAAGGAGGAGGAGGCAUUUGGCACGUGAUGGUUCUGAAGUCCCUCCCUUUCCAAGAGGGAAAAAAAAAAGAGUUACUUUAAUUAUUUAUUUAUUUAUUGGCUUUGUUUUUCUUCAGGCAAGAAGGCUUUGCCCUGCUCUUAAAGCAUGGUCCCAAUAUCUACUGAAGAAUAAAGUUACGUGCUUUUAACCUGAUUCA
This 1220-nucleotide long non-coding RNA is filed under the name Canis lupus dingo (dingo). RNAcentral's name for it is "lncRNA (ENSCAFG00020024583.1)". The record is from RNAcentral. Lineage: Eukaryota; Metazoa; Chordata; Mammalia; Carnivora; Canidae.